CGCAUCUGUGCAUGCAGCAUAUCAAUAAGCGGAGGAAAAGAAACUAACAAGGAUUCCCCUAGUAACGGCGAGUGAAGCGGGAAGAGCUCAAAUUAGAAAUCUUAAAGGGUUUCCCUUUACGAAUUGUAGUUUAAAGAAGAUGUUUUCUGUUGAGGUUUUGGUAAAAGUUCUUUGGAAUAGGACAUCAUAGAGGGUGAGAAUCCCGUAUUUGACCUUUACUUUCAACUUUGUGAUACACUUUCAAAGAGUCGGAUUGUUUGGGAAUGCAGUCCAAAAUGGGUGGUAAAUUUCAUCUAAAGCUAAAUAUUGGCGAGAGACCGAUAGCGAACAAGUACCGUGAGGGAAAGAUGAAAAGAACUUUGAAAAGAGAGUUAAACAGUACGUGAAAUUGUCAAAAGGGAAGCGUUUGACACCAGUGUUGUUUUUCUGAAAAUCAAUUAAAGAACUGUUUAUGCUAAGCUGUUUAGACUUUAUCAGCUAUCUGUUUAGUUUUGAGCUUUUCUUUAAUGCACUUUUCAGUUAACAAGUCAACAUCAAUUUCUUUUGCUGUAAAAAAGCUUGAGGAAGGUGGCUUGAGAUUCGUCUUAAGUGUUUAUAGCCUCUUGCCUAUGCAGUCGGAGAGACUGAGGUCUGCAGCGUAGAUCCUUCGGGGCUAAAUGCAUUUGUGCUAAGUUAUAGCAUUUUAUAGACAACUUGUUGACUAUGAUUUGUCUUGUAGCUUACUCGCUUAUGUUAUUUUACCUACGCUUAGGAUGUUGAGUCGUAGAGCACGCAG
This 775-nucleotide ribosomal RNA is filed under the name uncultured Neocallimastigales. RNAcentral describes it as "partial large subunit ribosomal RNA". It matches the Rfam family "Eukaryotic large subunit ribosomal RNA", at positions 26 to 628 of the family's 3401-position model. Lineage: Eukaryota; Fungi; Neocallimastigomycota; Neocallimastigomycetes; Neocallimastigales. The record is from RNAcentral.